GACGAACGCUGGCGGCGUGCUUAACACAUGCAAGUCGAACGGAAAGGCCCUGCUUUUGUGGGGUGCUCGAGUGGCGAACGGGUGAGUAACACGUGAGUAACCUGCCCUUGACUUUGGGAUAACUUCAGGAAACUGGGGCUAAUACCGGAUAGGAGCUCCUGCUGCAUGGUGGGGGUUGGAAAGUUUCGGCGGUUGGGGAUGGACUCGCGGCUUAUCAGCUUGUUGGUGGGGUAGUGGCUUACCAAGGCUUUGACGGGUAGCCGGCCUGAGAGGGGGACCGGCCACAUUGGGACUGAGAUACGGCCCAGACUCCUACGGGAGGCAGAAGUGGGGAAUAUUGCACAAUGGGCGGAAGCCUGAUGCAGCAACGCCGCGUGCGGGAUGACGGCCUUCGGGUUGUAAACCGCUUUCGCCUGUGACGAAGCGUGAGUGACGGUAAUGGGUAAAGAAGCACCGGCUAACUACGUG
Molecule: ribosomal RNA, 468 nt
Filed under: uncultured bacterium
Lineage: Bacteria
Description: partial 16S ribosomal RNA
Rfam family: Bacterial small subunit ribosomal RNA
Source: RNAcentral